This 1708-nucleotide long non-coding RNA is filed under the name Anolis carolinensis (green anole). RNAcentral describes it as "lncRNA (ENSACAG00000041475.1)". The record is from RNAcentral. Lineage: Eukaryota; Metazoa; Chordata; Lepidosauria; Squamata; Anolidae.
AUGUGCGGAGUGGAAGCUCCCAGGCACUUUCAGUCCGCUUUGGACAGCGAGAGGAACAGCAGCAGCUUCCUUGGCUCAUUGAGGGAUGUUGACCGUCUAUAUCUGCCUAGAAGAUCUGGUGGCAGAGGACAUUUGCAAGUAAAACAAGCAGUCAAAGAAGAAGAACAUGCCCUGGCAGAAUAUGUAAAGGAAAGCGAAGAACCUGCUUUGAUUGAAGUCAAAAAUCCUCAAAGCGCAGCAGACAAAGAAUCAGUACAAGAAAACUGCACUACAAACUAGAGCUGACAGCUGGCACAACAAAGCAUUGCAUGGACAGUUACUUGACAAAAUUGAAGGAAAAGCUGAUAAGGAGAAGGCCUGGCUAUGGUUCAUGAAUGGGACACUGAAGAAGGAUACAGAAGGCCUGAUCCUUGCAGCCCAGGAGCAAGCCAUCAGAACAAAUGCAAUUAAGGCCAAGAUCAAAAAAUCAGCAAGUGACCCAAAAUGCAGACACUGCAAGGUAGCUGACGAAACUAUUGAUCAUAUCCUCAGCUGCUGUAAGAAAAUCGCACAGUGUUCAACUUGUGAUUUUGUAAUAUAAAAUCCAGCAUAUAUAUCUUAUUUGCUGUGUCAUACUAUGUCUUUGUGUCAAUAACAACAACAACUUUAUUUAUACCCUGCCCCAUCUCCCCGAGGGGACUUGAAGUGGCCUUACCUAUAUAGUGAGUUUCAGUUCAACAGCAUCUGGAGGUCAACCUGAUUUUGUCCCCUGGUUUAUAGGAGCUGUCCAAGGCAAAUCAGAUGACCACUCUUGUGUUUAUCAAGGAGUAAAUGCAUUUACGGUAGAGAGUCCCAAAAUUGAUCUCUCUGCACACCCACAUACGAAAACCACCUACCAAGGAUAAUUAAACGCAACCUGUCAUUCUGGAUGUUUGAUGGUAUUUUGUAUAAGAGCUAACUGUAACUGAAUUGUUUUGAAGCCUAGGUGUAAAUGUAGGAUGAUGAUAAUAAUAACAACAACAACAAUAAUAACAACUUUAUUUUUAUAUCCCGCCUCCAUCUUCCCGAAGGGACUCGGAGGGGCUUACAUGGGGACGAGCCUGAUCCAGUAAAGGUUAAAACCAAACACAGAUUAAAACAUAUCUCAAUAAAAUCAACGACAUUACAAGAAGACAAUAACAUAACAUAUUUGCUUUUGUUUAGAGAAGCUCUUUUAAAGAAAUCAUGGGAUUGCUCAGCUUGUUUUACUCACUGCUUUGUUGCUUUGAUAAAACUUAUCCUUGCUCAGCAAACUUUGCUGUAUUUUGGCUUGGCUAUUUUAAAAAACAAACCACUCAUGGCAUUUUGCUGUCCAAAUGUCUUAGUCGUAGCCCCUGAGAAACCUGAAAAACCAGGGUCUAGCUUAAUACAUGUGUGGUUGAUAGAUGUUGCCGUAACAAUAGAUUUUGUUCAUUACUGCUAUUGGAGCACUUUUUGUUCCUCGUGUGCCAAUAUGUUUUGGAUUAAUUCUUGGAAGACAGUAAAUAUACAUAGAGACUUCUGAACAUGAGGAUUCCCAUAGAUGUCAUUUUGGAGUGGUCCAGUGCUCAGGUUGUUCAGCCUUGGUUGGCACUUGCCAGUGGCGGAUUGUGGCCCAUGCUCAAGCCAGACCUCUUCAACUUUAUCCAAUAAAGUUGUAAUAAUUUCUUAACAAUGUAUGUUGUGUUUUAAUAAGGAUUUACUUAAUUUU